UUUUCUGAAUGAUAUGAACUAUGAAAGUGUAAUUGUACUUUGUAGUAGUUUCUGCUGAGAUGCAAUUUGGCUUAGGCAAAGUGGCAUUCGUUAUUAUAGUAAAAAUGGAAAGAGGUUACGAACAUAGAAAAUAUUGAAUUAUUGACGGAUCUCUCAAAACAGUCUCAGCUGGUUGUAGGUUGUUUGGUGAGGUUGCAGCUUGCAGGUUGCUGAGUUUCUCCUCUCUGCUUGUUGGUUUUCUUUGAUUAGUAGAACAAGUAGCACACCACGUGUUUGUGAAAAUGCUUCUCACAGAUGAAACUUUUUGUGUGCCUAGACCUGCCUUCUUUCUUAGGAGAAUAUGCUUGCUGAGACAUUAUGGUCUAAAUUUCAUAAAUAAGUUCGUGCAUUUCUUUUCCUGGGUUCAUUUAGGUAUCUAGAACGUGUGUUCCUUAUGUGUUUCUGUCAUUGUGUGAUGGUAUUUAUGUAUUUAACUUUUUGGAACUUUGUUUCAAGAUUUGCAUAGAGCGGACCACCUUGCAACAGUGUUGGGUUAUAUAACCCAUGGUUUCUUCAUGAUUCGACUUUAUUAUCAGAUCCAUGCAAGAGAACCCGGGCAGCAUGAUUUUGGCAGGAGAAAGGAGGAUUAUCAUUUCUAGAGGUGAGUUGAGCUGCGGCUUGGUUGGAGAUGUUGGUGCGGUUCAAGAGGCCCGUUGGGUUCACCCUUUUCAAGGUUCUAAACCAG
Triticum dicoccoides is the source of this 724-nucleotide long non-coding RNA. RefSeq lists it as uncharacterized. The transcript is spliced from 3 exons. The record is from RefSeq and is a predicted model, not a curated record. NCBI's taxonomy places the organism in Eukaryota, Viridiplantae, Streptophyta, Magnoliopsida, Poales, Poaceae.